Molecule: long non-coding RNA, 418 nt
Filed under: Cyanistes caeruleus (blue tit)
Lineage: Eukaryota; Metazoa; Chordata; Aves; Passeriformes; Paridae
Description: lncRNA (ENSCCEG00000010551.1)
Source: RNAcentral
AUUUUUGUAUAUUCAAAUAUACCCAUCAAAGUCAGCAGGUGGAAUCCAAUAGACCAAGCUGCACAAACUUUCUGCAGAUUGAAGAUUUCCAAGAUUGAAAGACGGGUAAAAAGCAAAUGUUGGUUUUUAUUUAAACAGGAAUUAAUAUUUCCUGUAGCUUACUAUAGUGAAGAUCAGACCAAAAGAAGGAACAAAUCAAAUAAAGCAGGCAGAUUCAAUGAGAAUGUUGCAGCAGUUGAAGCAUUCAAUAGAAAAAAGGAAAAUAAAAAGAAUAAUUUAUUGGGAAUUCCUGAAUCAUUCUUGACAAGGUGUUGUGAGGAAGGGCAACAAAAUAAGUGAUAUCUAAAUCACAGCAAUGAAGUAGAGAAAUGUUUAAUGUCCAUUUAGCAAUAAAGAGGUUUUUAUAAUUAUUUUGGCA